UAGCUAUGUAGGGAAGGGAUAAGCGCUGAAAGCAUCUAAGUGCGAAGCCCACCUCAAGAUGAGAUUUCCCAUGAUUUUAUAUCAGUAAGAGCCCUGAGAGAUGAUCAGGUAGAUAGGUUAGGAGUGUAAUUGUGGUGACACAUUUAGCGGACUAAUACUAAUAGCUCGAGGACUUAUCCAAAA
Molecule: ribosomal RNA, 183 nt
Filed under: Streptococcus agalactiae
Lineage: Bacteria; Bacillati; Bacillota; Bacilli; Lactobacillales; Streptococcaceae
Description: partial 23S ribosomal RNA
Rfam family: Bacterial large subunit ribosomal RNA
Source: RNAcentral